Molecule: ribosomal RNA, 484 nt
Filed under: uncultured bacterium
Lineage: Bacteria
Description: SSU rRNA
Rfam family: Bacterial small subunit ribosomal RNA
Source: RNAcentral
AGGAUGAACGCUGGCGGCGUGCUUAACACAUGCAAGUCGAACGGUGAAAGAAGAGCUUGCUCUUCUGGAUCAGUGGCGAACGGGUGAGUAACACGUGAGUAACCUGCCCUUGACUCUGGGAUAAGCACUGGAAACGGUGUCUAAUACCGGAUACGACCUCCGAAGGCAUCUUCUGGAAGUGGAAAGAAUUUCGGUCAAGGAUGGACUCGCGGCCUAUCAGCUAGUUGGUGAGGUAACGGCCCACCAAGGCGACGACGGGUAGCCGGCCUGAGAGGGUGACCGGCCACACUGGGACUGAGACACGGCCCAGACUCCUACGGGAGGCAGCAGUGGGGAAUAUUGCACAAUGGGCGCAAGCCUGAUGCAGCAACGCCGCGUGAGGGACGACGGCCUUCGGGUUGUAAACCUCUUUUAGUAGGGUAAGAAGCGAAAGUGACGGUACCUGCAGAAAAGCACCGGCUAACUACGUGCCAGCAGCCGCGGU